This 495-nucleotide ribosomal RNA is filed under the name uncultured bacterium. RNAcentral's name for it is "partial 16S ribosomal RNA". It matches the Rfam family "Bacterial small subunit ribosomal RNA", at positions 28 to 507 of the family's 1533-position model. The record is from RNAcentral.
GAUGAACGCUGGCGGCGUGCCUAAUACAUGCAAGUAGAACGCUGAAGGAGGAGCUUGCUCUUCUGGAUGAGUUGCGAACGGGUGAGUAACGCGUAGGUAACCUGCCUGGUAGCGGGGGAUAACUAUUGGAAACGAUAGCUAAUACCGCAUGACAACAGUUAUUGCAUGAUAACUGUUUAAAAGGGGCAACUGCUCCACUACCAGAUGGACCUGCGUUGUAUUAGCUAGUUGGUGAGGUAACGGCUCACCAAGGCGACGAUACAUAGCCGACCUGAGAGGGUGAUCGGCCACACUGGGACUGAGACACGGCCCAGACUCCUACGGGAGGCAGCAGUAGGGAAUCUUCGGCAAUGGACGGAAGUCUGACCGAGCAACGCCGCGUGAGUGAAGAAGGUUUUCGGAUCGUAAAGCUCUGUUGUAAGGGAAGAACGAGUGUGAGAGUGGAAAGUUCACACUGUGACGGUAUCUUACCAGAAAGGGACGGCUAACUACGUG